CUUGGUGGCCUUAGCGAGGACGCAACACCCGAUCCCAUCCCGAACUCGGCCGUGAAAGUCCCCAGCGCCAAUGGUACUUCGUCUUAAGACGCGGAAGAGUAGGUCGCUGCCAAGC
RNAcentral lists this ribosomal RNA (115 nucleotides) under Alphaproteobacteria bacterium. RNAcentral also lists the same sequence under 1 other name. The record is from RNAcentral. Lineage: Bacteria; Pseudomonadati; Pseudomonadota; Alphaproteobacteria.